RNAcentral lists this ribosomal RNA (428 nucleotides) under uncultured prokaryote. Its description in RNAcentral is "bacterial SSU rRNA". It matches the Rfam family "Bacterial small subunit ribosomal RNA", at positions 355 to 774 of the family's 1533-position model. The record is from RNAcentral.
UGAGGAAUAUUGCGCAAUGGGGGCAACCCUGACGCAGCAACGCCGCGUGAGUGAGGAAGGUUUUCGGAUCGUAAAGCUCUGUCGGGUGGGAAGAAAUGUAUGGAGGUUAAUAGCCUUUGUACUUGACGGUACCGCCAAAGGAAGCACCGGCUAACUCCGUGCCAGCAGCCGCGGUAAUACGGGGGGUGCAAGCGUUGUUCGGAAUCAUUGGGCGUAAAGAGCGUGUAGGCGGCUAGGCAAGUCAGAUGUGAAAUCCCUGGGCUUAACCCAGGACGUGCAUUUGAAACUGCUUAGCUUGAGUAAGGAAGAGGGAAGUGGAAUUCCUGGUGUAGAGGUGAAAUUCGUAGAUAUCAGGAGGAACACCGGUGGCGAAGGCGACUUCCUGGUCCUAUACUGACGCUGAGACGCGAGAGCGUGGGGAGCAAACA